CCUUGUCGCCGGUGCCGGUAUACGGCCGAAGAAAAGCCUAGGUCGUCGCCCAUCGGUAUGAUAAAUCUGGCAUCUGAUUCUCCCCAGGCCGUGGGUGUGACAAAGCCCCCAACACUCAAACAAAAUUGUGUCGCCUUCGUGGAGUCCCACUGCAUCGACGAAACACUUCCACCCAUUGUACCGGAAGUACAAUGAACCGUGUUGAUCGUUGGCAAUGUCAACAGCGAAAGAUUGUUCACCAGGCAAGAUGAGUGCAACCCGGUUGCAGUUGUCGAACAAAUAC
RNAcentral lists this long non-coding RNA (283 nucleotides) under Aquilegia coerulea. RNAcentral's name for it is "long non-coding RNA (ACOE_LNC000754)". Lineage: Eukaryota; Viridiplantae; Streptophyta; Magnoliopsida; Ranunculales; Ranunculaceae. The record is from RNAcentral.